CUUGGAGGCAAUGCAACUGAUAGGCUUAGUAAGCUCUGAACCAUCCAUGCCAAACUCCAUCUCUGAAUCACAAACCUUGAGA
This 82-nucleotide small RNA is filed under the name Arabidopsis thaliana (thale cress). RNAcentral describes it as "ATSL205320". Lineage: Eukaryota; Viridiplantae; Streptophyta; Magnoliopsida; Brassicales; Brassicaceae. The record is from RNAcentral.